RNAcentral lists this ribosomal RNA (274 nucleotides) under uncultured prokaryote. RNAcentral describes it as "partial 16S ribosomal RNA". It matches the Rfam family "Bacterial small subunit ribosomal RNA", at positions 524 to 798 of the family's 1533-position model. The record is from RNAcentral.
UACGUAGGUGGCGAGCGUUGUCCGGAAUUACUGGGUGUAAAGGGAGCGUAGGCGGGAGUGCAAGUUGAAUGUUAAAUCUAUCGGCUCAACCGAUAGCCGCGUUCAAAACUGCAUUUCUUGAGUGAAGUAGAGGUUGGCGGAAUUCCUAGUGUAGCGGUGAAAUGCGUAGAUAUUAGGAGGAACACCAGUGGCGAAGGUGGCCAACUGGGCUUUUACUGACGCUGAGGCUCGAAAGCGUGGGGAGCAAACAGGAUUAGAUACCCUGGUAGUCCCU